RNAcentral lists this ribosomal RNA (1588 nucleotides) under Cardimyxobolus japonensis. Its description in RNAcentral is "SSU rRNA". It matches the Rfam family "Eukaryotic small subunit ribosomal RNA". The record is from RNAcentral. Lineage: Eukaryota; Metazoa; Cnidaria; Myxozoa; Bivalvulida; Ortholineidae.
ACGUUUUGUUAUUCUGAAAGACUAAGCCAUGCACGUGUGAGUUCAUACAAGUAAAAAGUGAGACUGCGAAAGGCUCAGUAAAUCAUUCAUAAUCUAUCUGUGAGUAAACCCAUUGGAUAACCGUGGGAAAUCUAGAGCUAAUACAUGUGAGGAGCAUUUAUUAGGGAACCAAAAGUGGUGAAUCUAGAUAAAGAGCAGAUCGCGUAGGAAUAUGCGACAUAGCAGUUGAAUGUAUGCCCUAUCAACUAGUUGGUAAGGUAGUGGCUUACCAAGGUUGCAACGGGUAACGGGGAAUCUGGGUUCGAUUCCGGAGAGGGAGCCUGAGAAACGGCUACCACAUCCAAGGAAGGCAGCAGGCGCGCAAAUUACCCAAUCCAGACAAUGGGAGGUGGUGAACAGAAGUAUUGAAACAAUGUUUUGAAAUGAGCGUACACUAAACAUCGCGUCGUAAUACAACUGGAGGGCAAGUCUGGUGCCAGCAGCCGCGGUAAUUCCAGCUCCAGUGACAAAAUGUAAUGUUGUUGCGUUUAAAACGCUCGUAGUUGGAUGUGUGUGGUGAGAUGUGGCCUUGAAUGAGUCAAUACAAUCUCACAAAUUAGUGCCUUGAAACAAUCAAAGUGCUCAAAGCGGACGAGAACGUCUAAAUGAUAUAGCAUGGAACGAACAGUAAAUGUAAACGAAUGUUGGUGAUUCGUGUGACAUGAUUAAAGCGAGCGGUUGGGGGCAUUGGUAUUUGGUAGCGAGAGGUGAAAUUCUUAGACCUACCAAGGACUAACAAAAGCCAAGGCAUUUGUCAAGACCGUUUCGAUCAAUCAAUGAACGAAAGAGAAAGGUUCAAUGGAGAUCAGAUACCUCCGUAGUUUUCUCUAUAAACUAUGCCGACCCGGGAUCAGUCUAGUACGUAAUAUAACUGUAUAGGUUGGUCCCCCUGGGAAACCUAAAGUGUUCCGGUUACGGGGGGAGUAUGGUCGCAAGGCUGAAACUUAAAGGAAUUGACGGAAGGGCACCACCAGGGGUGGAGCCUGCGGCUUAAUUUGACUCAACACGGGAAAACUCACCGGUUCAGGACGUUAAAAUGAUAGAUACAGACUGAUAGAUCUUUCUUGAUAUAAUGUGUGGUGGUGCAUGGCCGUUGUUAGUACGUGAACUGAUUUGUCUGGUUAAUUCCGCUAUAACGUACGAGACCAAGAUUUUCAUUUCGAGAGAGAGAGAAUGGAAAGACAACUGAUGUAAAAUCAGAGUAAGAUUGGCAAUAACAGGUCUGUGAUGCCCUUAGAUGUACCGGGCUGCACGCGCGCUACAAUGGAAAUUACAGAGCGUUUCUAGUUUGAAAGGACUGGAUAAUCGUAAAUAGUUUCCGUGAUGGGGAUUGUCGAUUGUAAUUUCGACAUGAAAUAGGAAUCCCUUGUACUUGCACUUCAUUAAGAGUGCAAGGAAUCAGUCCCUGCCUUUUGUACACACYGCCCGUCGCUACUACCGAGUGAAUGAUGUCGUGAUAAUAUUUGCUAAUGAGGGUGGUUCAUCCGCGUAAGGAAUAUUAGAACGAUGCCGUUUCGAGGAAGUAAAAGUCGUAACAAGGUAUCUGUAG